UUCAAUUCGCUUUGCCUGUUUCUUCCCCUUUCUGGUAUGUAUCAUAUCAUUGAUUAUUUUUAGUGGAUCAGACAAUGCUGCCAACAAAACAGGGGUGUGAAGAUCAUCUGACAUGGGAGGCAACAAACACAUUAUGGAACCUAUUAAUGCCAUCUAAAAUAUCAGGUGGGACAGAAUCCUUCUCAAAUGCCAUGUCAUGCUGGCUGAUGACAGUUUCACAAUCAUGUAAUGUCUGAUAUAUGUAAAAAAUACGUUCUGAAGCACUCUCAAGCUGUACAUUAGAGUAGUUGAUUGGAGAUCGAUAGUGGGUCCCCAACAAGAAAAGUCUCAAAGCCAGUGGAUGAUAAAGAUCUAUAACCUGCCUAAUCGUAAAAAAGUUUCCAAGUGAUUUGGACAUUUUCUCAGAGUCAACAGUGACAAAGCCAUUAUGUAUCCAGUAGCUUAUNNUCUCUGCAUGCAGCACAACUCUGGGCAAUCUCAUUUUCAUGGUGGGGAAACACAAGGUCCAUUCCCCCACCAUGAAUGUCAAAAGAGUGACCAAGAUAAGCAGCACUCAUGGCACUGCACUCAAUAUGCCAUCCAGGUCUUCCAGGACCCCAUGGACUCUCCCAAAAAGGUUCACCUUCCUUUGCAGACUUCCACAAUGCAAAAUCAGCAGGAUUUUUCUUCCUUGAGUCCACAGCCACUCGCUCACCUGCUCUAUUAUCUUCUAAUUUUCGCCCAGAUAAUUGUCCAUAUUCAGGAAAUUUGUCUACGGAGAAGUAAACAUCGCCAUCAAUUCUGUAGGCACACUCAUUAUCAAGAAUCUG
Molecule: unclassified non-coding RNA, 809 nt
Filed under: Hevea brasiliensis (rubber tree)
Lineage: Eukaryota; Viridiplantae; Streptophyta; Magnoliopsida; Malpighiales; Euphorbiaceae
Source: RNAcentral